This 253-nucleotide ribosomal RNA is filed under the name uncultured bacterium. Its description in RNAcentral is "partial 16S ribosomal RNA". It matches the Rfam family "Bacterial small subunit ribosomal RNA", at positions 524 to 776 of the family's 1533-position model. The record is from RNAcentral.
UACGAAGGGGGCUAGCGUUGCUCGGAAUCACUGGGCGUAAAGCGCACGUAGGCGGCUUUUUAAGUCAGAGGUGAAAUCCUGGAGCUCAACUCCAGAACUGCCUUUGAUACUGGAGAGCUUGAGUCCGGGAGAGGUGAGUGGAACUCCGAGUGUAGAGGUGAAAUUCGUAGAUAUUCGGAAGAACACCAGUGGCGAAGGCGACUCACUGGCCCGAUACUGACGCUGAGGCGCGAAAGCGUGGGGAGCAAACAGG